This 1679-nucleotide long non-coding RNA is filed under the name Gadus morhua (Atlantic cod). RNAcentral's name for it is "lncRNA (ENSGMOG00000027794.1)". The stretch from base 1606 to 1659 matches the Rfam family "UnaL2 LINE 3' element". Lineage: Eukaryota; Metazoa; Chordata; Actinopteri; Gadiformes; Gadidae. The record is from RNAcentral.
CAAAUAUGGCCGCUGCUUGAUGUUCAAAAACCUCUAGGCAAUCAGUGUUCUCACGAUGGUCGUUCAUUUGUACAAAUUGCUGAUGACGAGAUAGGCAUUCUCAACCGGCAUCAAAACUAUCCCAAAACCCAUUAACUACAUGAAUGUGUAAUAUCAUCUGUUGUUUAGUCGAUUGAACCUGCGGUGCCUCAAUGUGUGUCCCCUUCUAUGCUGCAUGUGUACAAUACGUGAAGCAUAUGAAACCAUGCAGCUCUAUAUCUCUGUCUGGAUGUGUCCAGGGAGAACCCGGCCCACAAGGAAAGGAUGGCUUGGCUGGAUCUGCUGGAGCAAAGGGAGAUAAGGGGGAGGCCGGGGUCCCAGGAGUUUUGACCGGCGGUCAGGUGAGUCCAAUAUAUAUCUCUUCUCACUAUAUUGUAGCACAUGAAAAUAAGCUGUACUUGUAUUGGGAAUCACCUGAUUGUAAUUUCAAUCAGUAACGGCUACGAUACGAUACGAUACAACUUUAUCAAUCCCCCGUAGGAGAAAUGAGUUAAAGGCCGGUUGAAGUGUUUGAUUAAUGCUAGCAAUGCUAUGAUUUGUAUUUGCGAGAUUAGGCCGAACGUGUCAUUAAAUUUCCGUAAACAGACACACACACACACACACACACACACACACACACACACACACACACACACACACACACACACACACACACUUGCAUACAUCGUAGACUUCAACGUAAAUAACUCUACUAACGGGUUCUUCAGCCAGCCUGAGAUCAUGGAACGCAAAUAUUGUCCAACCCAAACUAAUUAUACAUUUAAAUAGCCUUUCAUAUUUUUCUAGGCUGCUCGUCCACCCUAAGGGUGAUUGCUGUAUAGAUGAGUUCAGCGUGCUCAGCCUUAGUGCAUUUGAUUUAGACUGAGGAGACUGAGGAAGACACAGGACAGGACGGGGACAACAGGGUUAUAUUAUAUAUUUAACAGUCCUUUUGGAAUAUUUGUCUUCACUGUCCUGUGGUGUCUGGCGAUUGCUUUACUUAUUGCUAGGCACUUUUACCACUUGCAUGUGAAUCUAUGCACAGUGAAUAAUGUGUUUUGUAUCUAUUGUAGUGAUGCACUAUAUAGCAAAUGUUUAGUUGGAUACAGUUAAAAAGUGGUCCCAAUGAGAUGACUUGGAUAAACUCCAGUAUUGGAAAAGCUAUUCAAAAUUCAGUAUAGUCUAUCAUAUAUUCAUCAUGGAAUAAUCAGGACAAGUUGAAGACAAGGCUGUAGGCCACAUAAUUAGUCCCAGCUGUCAGUCUGUGCGUUCAUAUGAUGCAUGAAUUCCGAAAAGGACUCAAGACUCACCUGUUCAGAGUCCACCUCGACACAGCACAGCCACCCUCCCCCUUCUGGCCACCAUUGUACACUGUAUUGUAUUGUAUUGUAUUGUAUUGUAUUGUAUUGUAUUGUAUUGUAUUGUAUUGCACUAUAGUACUUAACUGUGUAGCAACUGCAGUAGCUGCUAUCAUGGCUGUAACACGGGGAAUUGGUUAGCCUAGCGAUUGUGGUAGGCCUACUUGCACUUGGUUCUAUGAACAUCCUUUCUGUACCGACAGCGAUAUAUUGAUGUACUUCUUAUGACUAAUGUACUUAGUGUAAGUCGCUUUGGAUAAAAGCGUCUGCUAAAUGCCCUAAAUGUAAAAAUGUAAAUGAAUA